This 76-nucleotide transfer RNA is filed under the name Lysobacter sp. RNAcentral describes it as "tRNA-Thr". It matches the Rfam family "tRNA". From Rfam's summary of the family: Transfer RNA (tRNA) molecules are approximately 80 nucleotides in length. Their secondary structure includes four short double-helical elements and three loops (D, anti-codon, and T loops). The record is from RNAcentral. Lineage: Bacteria; Pseudomonadati; Pseudomonadota; Gammaproteobacteria; Lysobacterales; Lysobacteraceae. RNAcentral also lists the same sequence under 69 other names.
GCCGGAAUAGCUCAGUUGGUAGAGCGCGUCAUUCGUAAUGAUGAGGUCGUAGGUUCGAUUCCUAUUUCCGGCACCA